This 3002-nucleotide long non-coding RNA is filed under the name Brassica napus (rape). RNAcentral describes it as "long non-coding RNA (BNAP_LNC006291)". Lineage: Eukaryota; Viridiplantae; Streptophyta; Magnoliopsida; Brassicales; Brassicaceae. The record is from RNAcentral.
AACCCUAAACCUUCGACUAUAAACCCUAAAACAUCAGCUCUAAACCAUAAACCAUAAACUUCAACUCUAAACCGUAAACCAUCAACAAUAGAGUUUAGAGUUGAUGUUUCGGGAUUUAGGGUUUAGAGUUGAUGUUUCAUGGUUUAGAGUUUAGAGUUGAUGAUUUAGGGUUUAAAGUUGAUGUUUUAAGUUUAGAUUUAGGGUCUAGGGUUUACGUUUAGGGUUUAGGGUUUAGGGUUUAGGGUUGAUGUUUUAAGUUAAAUUAGUUAACAAUAUGUUUUCUUUUUGUCAAAGUUAAUCAAAAAGUUAUAAAUGUCUUUUACCCUUCAUUGAAGAUGAAAAGUGUUACUUUGAAAAUAGUAUUUUUGCAAUUUCCCUAAAUAUAUAUUAGGAAAAAUUACAUGUUUACCACUUUCAUGCUACUAUUUUUCAUUUUUACCACCACUAAAGAGACAUUUUCAAAAAUAUGCCAUUAUACUUUAUAUAUAUAAUAAAUAAAAAUUUAAAUAAAUAAAAAUCAAAAAAAUAAAAAAUAAUUUUUAAAUUUUUUUUCGAAUUAUACUAUUUCGAAAUUCAAACCCUGAACCCUACAACUCAACUCUAAACCCUAAACCACCUAUCAUAAACUCUAUUUUUUUGAAAUACAAACCCUAAACCAACUCUAAACCCUAAACCCUAAACCUUCAACUCUAAACCCUAAAACAUCAACUAUAAACCCUAACCUUCAACUCUAAACCUUAAACCAUCAACACUCUAAAAUAUCAACACUAAACCCUAAACCUUAAAAAGUAAACUCUAAACCCUAAACUCUAAAAAAUUAACCCUAAACCCCGAAACAUCAACUCUAAACCCUAAACCCUAAAAUGUAAACUCUAAACCCUAAACCCUUAAAAAUUAACCCUAAACCCUGAAACAUCAACUCUAAACCAUAAACCUUCAACUAUAAACCUUAAAACAUCAACUAUAAACCCUAAACCCUAAACUUCAACUCUAAACCCUAAACUAUCAACUCUAAACCCUAAACCCUAAAAAGUAAACUUUAAACCCUAAAAAAUUAACCCUAAACCCUGAAACAUCAACUCUAAACCCUAAACCUUCAACUCUAAACCAUAAACCUUAAAUCCUAAACCCUAAAACCCUAGAGGUGAUGUUUUAGGGUUUAGAGUUGAAGGUUUAGGGUUUCAGGGUUUAGGGUUUACAUUUAGGGAUUAGAGUUGAUGUUUUAGGGUUUAGAUUUGAAGGUUUAUGGUUUUAGGGUUUAGGGUUUGAAUUUCAGAAAAAUAUCGGGUUUAAGGUUAAGGGUUUAUGUUUAAGGUUUAUGUUUAGGGCUUAGAGUUGAUGUUUUAGGGUUUAGAUUUGAUGGUUUAGAGUUUAGGGUUUAGAGUUGAUGUUUUGGGGUUUAGGGUUUAGAGUUGAUGUUUCAUGAUUUAGGGUGUAGAGUUGAUAAUUUUGGUUUUAAAGUUGAUGUUUUAAGUUUAGGGUUUACGGGUUUAGAGUUGAUGUUUUAGGGUUUAGAUUUGAAGAUUUAGGGUUUAGAGUUUAGAAUUGAUGUUUCGGAGUUUAGGGUUUAGAGUUGAUAUUUCAUGGCUUAGGAUUUAGAGAUUAGAGUUGAUGUUUCAUGGUUUAGAUUAGUUAACCAUAUGUUUUUUUUGUCAAAGUUAAUCAAAAAGGUUAUAAUUGUCUUUUAUCCUUCAUUAAAAUUGAAGGUAAAAAUGAUUAGUGUAAACAUGAAAAGUGGUACUUUGAAAAUGAUAUUUUUGGCAAUUUCCCUAUAUAUUAAGACAAAUAAUUUAACUACAAUUUGGUCGAUAGUGAAAGAAGCAUUAAAAAAAAGAAUAUUUUAACUUCCAAAAAAUUAGAUAUUUCAGUUGUGGUAAAUACUCAAUUAUAAGGUGCUCACGUCAAUUUGCAUCUGUAUGUGUAUGUAAAACUAUAUAAAGAUGGUUGAUAAAUAUAUGAGAAAAUUACAUGUUUACCACUUUCAUGCUACUACUUUUCAUUUUUACCAUUAAAUGAACAUUUUCAAAAAUAUCUUCUUCAUUAAGUGGCAAAAGACUUUUAUGUCUCUUGUUCUUUAUAUAUAUAAUAAAUAAAUAUUCAAAUAAAUAAAAAUAUAAAAAAAUAAAAAAUAUUUUUUUAAAAUUUUUUUUAGAAUUAUACUAUUUCGAAAUUCAAACCUUAAACCCUAAACCAUCAAUCAUAAACUUUUUUUUUUUGAAAUAUGAACCCUAAACCCUCAACCAUCAAUCCUAAACACUUUUUUUUUUAAAUACGAACCCUAAACCCAGAAACAUCAACUCUAAACCCUAAACCACGAAACAUCAAGUCUAAACCCUAAACCUUCAACUCUAAACCCUAAAAUAUCAACUCUAAACCCUAAACCCUAAAAUUCAACUCUAAACCCUAAAACAUCAACUCUAAACCCUAAACCAUCAACACAAAACCCUAAACCCUAAACCCCAAACCAUCAACUCUAAACCCUAAACUCUAAAUCCUAAACCAUCAACUCUAAACCCUAAACUCUAAAUCUUCAACUCUAAACCCUAAACUCUAAACCCUAAAUUCUAAACCCUAAAUCCUAAACCCUAAACCCUAAAACCCUAGAGUUGAUGUUUUAGGGUUUAGAUUUGAAGUUUUAGGGUUUUAGGGUUUAGGGUUUACAUUUAGGGUUUAGAGUUGAUGUUUUAGGGUUUAGAUUUGAAGGUUUAGGGUUUAGAGUUGAUGUUUCGGUGUUUAGGGUUUAGAGUUGAUGUUUCAUGGUUUAGGGUUUAGAGUUGAUGAUUUAGGGUUUAAAGUUGAUAUUUUAAGUUUAGAUUUAGUGUUUAGAGUUUACGUUUAGGGUUUAAAGUUGAUGUUUUAGGGUUUAAAUUUGAAGGUUUAGGGUUUAGGGUUUAGAAUUGAUGUUUCAUGGUUUAGGGCUUAGAGUUAUGUUUUAAGUUUAGAUUAGUUAACCAUAUGUUUUUUUUGUCAAAGUUAAUUAAAAGGUUAUAAAUGUCUUUUAC